This 506-nucleotide ribosomal RNA is filed under the name uncultured bacterium. Its description in RNAcentral is "partial 16S ribosomal RNA". It matches the Rfam family "Bacterial small subunit ribosomal RNA", at positions 29 to 523 of the family's 1533-position model. The record is from RNAcentral.
AGUGAACGCUGGCGGUAGGCCUAACACAUGCAAGUCGAACGGCAGCACAGGAGAGCUUGCUCUCUGGGUGGCGAGUGGCGGACGGGUGAGGAAUACGUCGGAAUCUACUCUGUCGUGGGGGAUAACGUAGGGAAACUUACGCUAAUACCGCAUACGACCUACGGGUGAAAGCAGGGGACCUUCGGGCCUUGCGCGAUUGAAUGAGCCGAUGUCGGAUUAGCUAGUUGGCGGGGUAAAGGCCCACCAAGGCGACGAUCCGUAGCUGGUCUGAGAGGAGGAUCCGCCACCCGGGAACUGAGACACGUGCCAGCCUCCUACGGGAGGCAGCAGUGGGGAAUAUUGGACAAUGGGCGCAAGCCUGAUCCAGCCAUACCGCGUGGGUGAAGAAGGCCUUCGGGUUGUAAAGCCCUUUUGUUGGGAAAGAAAUCCAGCUGGCUAAUACCCGGUUGGGAUGACGGUACCCAAAGAAUAAGCACCGGCUAACUUCGUGCCAGCCGCCGCCGUAA